RNAcentral lists this ribosomal RNA (490 nucleotides) under uncultured bacterium. RNAcentral's name for it is "partial 16S ribosomal RNA". It matches the Rfam family "Bacterial small subunit ribosomal RNA", at positions 30 to 507 of the family's 1533-position model. The record is from RNAcentral.
AUUGAACGCUGGCGGCAGGCCUAACACAUGCAAGUCGAACGGUAACAGGAAGAAGCUUGCUUCUUUGCUGACGAGUGGCGGACGGGUGAGUAAUGUCUGGGAAACUGCCUGAUGGAGGGGGAUAACUACUGGAAACGGUAGCUAAUACCGCAUAACGUCGCAAGACCAAAGAGGGGGACCUUCGGGCCUCUUGCCAUCGGCUUUGCCCAGAUGGGAUUAGCUAGUAGGUGGGGUAACGGCUCACCUAGGCGACGAUCCCUAGCUGGUCUGAGAGGAUGACCAGCCACACUGGAACUGAGACACGGUCCAGACUCCUACGGGAGGCAGCAGUGGGGAAUAUUGCACAAUGGGCGCAAGCCUGAUGCAGCCAUGCCGCGUGUAUGAAGAAGGCCUUCGGGUUGUAAAGUACUUUCAGCGGGGAGGAAGGGAGUAAAGUUAAUACCUUUGCUCAUUGACGUUACCCGCAGAAGAAGCACCGGCUAACUCCGUG